AUUUUUUGCGCGGAGAGAGAAGAGUGCAGCGGAGGAGGGAGAGAAAAGGAGAGUUUGUUUCCGCCGUGCCCAGAAUAGCCCAAUAGAAAUCGGAGAAGAUGUGCAGUCCUUCCAACCUUCCUCGGGUAGUGAUCGAUUACCAUACACACCUAUCGGCUUGAUGUCCUUUUUUUUUUUUUGUCUUUGUCUUGAUUUUAGUCAUUAGUUCUGCACAUACCUGGGAUUUGAGUGAAGUAACAGAGGACGGACUGUAUUGUGGCCACUGAGCUUGCGAAGCCCCUCACUGCUUAUUGCAUGUAAGAUUAGCUCAAUUUAAUUACUUUAGUUCAAUUUUCUGAUUAUUUACGUCUGCACAGAUCAAACUUUUGGAGAAAAAAUAAUGUGUGUGAUUGAAUUGUGAUACUAAGAAUGGAAACUGAUUAGACAUAGCUCAAAAUGGGUGAAGCUUAUAUUUUCAAGCUUUCCUUUAUCCUCAACAUCUGCUUAAGGCUUUUCAGUUGAGAUAUUAUUGGAGUGGUGUUUUUCUGAUUUGACUCUGGCAAUGACAGAAACGAGUUUGGAGUAGAAUCUCAGCCAAAAGAGGCUGAGGAAAGUGUGAGUUUAGGAUGAUCACAUCUCAUUUCUAUACUAUUGACCAUGGCAAGAGCUCCAUGUUGUGACAAAGCUAAUGUCAAAAAAGGACAGUGGUCUCCUGAGGAAGAUAAAGCUAAGUCUUGGGACUCAUGGAACUGGUGGCAAUUGGAUUCAUCUGCCACAAAAAGCUGGCUUUUAGAUUCUUCAACAAGAAUCAAGUUGACCACAUUAAGGGUGAUCAGAACACGUGGUUUUCUAAUAAAGAAGCCAAGCUGCCGAAAUUGCAGAAAGUCACCCCUCAAUUUGCAACUUUGUUUCUUCCAUGACUUGGCAUCUGAGUAAUCGACUGCAAUACUUUGAAGGUAACAAUCUGAUAUUUUCCAAUUAGUUCUCUGUUUAUCUGAUGAAACCAUUUCAAUUUGAUACUUUCAAGCACAACAAACACUCAGCCACAUUUAUCGUCUUUUUCCUUUAUCAUUGUUGUUUUUUAUUUAUCUAUUAAUUUUAAAUACAUACAAUUUGAUCUCAAUUAAUAAGCCAACUUUUAAGUUUUCAAUAGUUCCAGUAUCCAAAAUGUUUUGCUACUGCUUUCAGUUUUCAACUUUCUUUCUAUUUUGUCUCUCUCUGUUUCCAGCUUCAAUUUUAGAUCUGUUGUUACUAUUCCUUCCAUUUUGAAUUCUUGCUCAUUUUGAAGCUCUUCGAUUUUCAAUUAAUUCACUGAGGUAUCUACAGCAAGAUUGUUGUUUUGCUUAUGGAUGUUUGUUUUAGUAUUUCAUUUCUGUUAAAUACAGGGUUAGAAGAUCGUUUAAAUUUUGACAAUUGUCAACUCCUUAAUCUUUAUUGUUUUGUGAAUCUGUAUGCCUUAUAUAUCAAUGCUGCUUUUUAUUUCAAAAUCACUAUCUGCCAUAGAGACAAUCCUUUAGAUCUGUAUGAAUUCAAUAGGAAUUCAUCUUUGAAAAGAACAUUCCCAAGAUUAUUGUUCUGCAUUUUGAUAAUGUCAUUCAUGUUGCUUAUUGGAUAGUUGUAGCAUGCAGAUCCAUAUUCUUUUGUUUAGUUUAUACUGAUAAAGCUGCUCCAAGUAUGUUGUUACAUCAUUCUUACAAACAAAUUUCCAUUACAGAAAAGUUAGUUUAUCAACACACAGGCACUACUAGCUAACAAAUGUACUACUACUUCUUACUGUACCAAAGUGCUUUAAACUUCAAGCAGUUUUGUUUUUCAUCUGAUGUUAAGCUUAGAAAAAUAAUUCGUUUGCAACAACAUAUAAUGCAUAAGCUUUUGACAGAAAAUGAAAAUUCAGCAUCCUUCAGAUUCAUAUAAAAGCUGUCUUGCUGCCUUGACAAUUAAAGGUUAUGUAUUCUUUAUACUGUUUCUGUACAGGUUAAGCAAUAUCAGUAUGCCAAAGAUACAAAACGAAUUGCUUCUAAAAAGUCAUGGUUCUCUUACGAAUCUAGUAUGAUUUGCAAAUCGGAUGGUUUCUUUUUCUAAUUUUUUUUUUUCUAUAUGCUCUCCUUAAGUAUACUUGGUUAGACUCCACGUCUAAUCUAAUUCAAGCACUCCUUCCACAGGUCUGGGAAUGGCUUCUUGUGAUUUUGAUCAUUGAUUUAUUUGUAUUAUCCUCCAACACUGUGGCACUCAAAGGUCAGACGAUAAAGUAUUUACAGUCUUGGACAUCAUUUUACACUUUUCAAUUUCAAUAUCUGCAUCACUAUUUAUGCCUGGUAAAUGCUAAAUGCAUAUAUCCACGUAGUUUAGUGUUGUUUAAUGUGAUGUUCAUGAUGUAAAUAGAUACUUCUUCUUGAUUUGAUGUGGAGGUGUGCAUUAGCUAAUAUUAUGUUUUCAUAGCAUUUCUCAAAUUCUCCAUCUGCAAGAUUUUUUAACUUUGGAUGAUGACUGCAGUUGAACAUCUUUCUUUUUCUUCUUUGGGUGAAAUAGUGAUAACUCGAUCAGCUAUGAGUAGAUGUAUAGCAGCCUCCUUCAGUACUCAUGUUGUAAAGUUUUUAGUCACACAAAGGUGCUGAACUUGGGAACUUUGAGAUCUUUUCUCACAUGUUGUUUGUUAUAGGAGAGAUCUUCUAUCAUUGUUGUGUCUGAAAUCUCUUUCUUUGAGAAAUGCAGCACUUUUGAAAAUUGUUUUUGUUAUUUCCUGCAAAGGAAGAGGCAGUGACAGAUUAUUAAUAUGAAUGUUGUAAAAUAUGUUGCAGUAAACAUGUAAAAUGUUUGUCAUUAAUGAAAUCGAUAUCUGAUAGCUUUUAGUUCUCCUUACAA
This is a long non-coding RNA of Rosa chinensis, 2841 nucleotides long. RefSeq lists it as uncharacterized. The record is from RefSeq and is a predicted model, not a curated record. Lineage: Eukaryota; Viridiplantae; Streptophyta; Magnoliopsida; Rosales; Rosaceae. The transcript is spliced from 6 exons.